This 467-nucleotide ribosomal RNA is filed under the name uncultured bacterium. Its description in RNAcentral is "partial 16S ribosomal RNA". It matches the Rfam family "Bacterial small subunit ribosomal RNA", at positions 28 to 507 of the family's 1533-position model. The record is from RNAcentral.
GACGAACGCUGGCGGCGUGCUUAUCACAUGCCAGUCGAACGGAAAGGCCCUGCUUUUGUGGGGUGCUCGAGUGGCGAACGGGUGAGUAACACGUGAGUAACCUGCCCUUGACUUUGGGAUAACUUCAGGAAACUGGGGCUAAUACCGGAUAGGAGCUCCUGCUGCAUGGUGGGGGUUGGAAAGUUUCGGCGGUUGGGGAUGGACUCGCGGCUUAUCAGCUUGUUGGUGGGGUAGUGGCUUACCAAGGCUUUGACGGGUAGCCGGCCUGAGAGGUGACCGGCCACAUUGGGACUGAGAUACGGCCCAGACUCCUACGGGAGGCAGCAGUGGGGAAUAUUGCACAAUGGGCGGAAGCCUGAUGCAGCAACGCCGCGUGCGGGAUGACGGCCUUCGGGUUGUAAACCGCUUUCGCCUGUGACGAAGCGUGAGUGACGGUAAUGGGUAAAGAAGCACCGGCUAACUACGUG